Molecule: ribosomal RNA, 559 nt
Filed under: Heterorhabditis zealandica
Lineage: Eukaryota; Metazoa; Nematoda; Chromadorea; Rhabditida; Heterorhabditidae
Description: partial large subunit ribosomal RNA
Rfam family: Eukaryotic large subunit ribosomal RNA
Source: RNAcentral
CGCUGAAGUGGAACCGGAGAGAGUUAACUUAACUUGGUAGCUAUAUUCUCUAGGGUCGCUUAACUGUGGCUGUGGGGGAUGGACGCUACCUGUUGUUGCACUGACUGCGUUGAUCGUGCUUUCCGAACAGUGUAGCGUUGCCCACUUUGUGGUGUCUUGCUCGCUGGGAGGUUUGUCAUGGUUAACGUAUAGCCUUAGUCCCGAGGGAGUCAGUGUGAAAGUUAACCACCUUUCCGACCCGUCUUGAAACACGGACCGAGGAGUGUUGGUUAUACGCGAGUCAAGGAGUGGUGAAAACUCUAGGGGCGGAAUGAAAGUAAAGACUAGUUAACUAGUUGACAUGGGAUCCGCUCUUCGGAGCGGCGCACCAUGGCCCUGUCUUGUCUGCUUGCAGAUGGGCAGCGGUAGAGCGUAUAGCUUGCGACCCGAAAGAUGGUGAACUAUGCUUGAGCAGGACGAAGCCAGAGGAAACUCUGGUGGAAGUCCGUAUCGGUUCUGACGUGCAAAUCGAUCGAUAGACUUGAGUAUAGGGGCGAAAGACUAAUCGAACUAUCUAGUA